UACGGAGGGUGGUAGCGUUGUUCGGAAUCACUGGGCGUAAAGCGCACGCAGGCGGAUCGAUAAGUCGGGGGUGAAAGCCCGGGGCUCAACCUCGGAAUUGCCUUCGAUACUGUCGGUCUCGAGUCCGGGAGAGGUGAGUGGAAUUCCUAGUGUAGAGGUGAAAUUCGUAGAUAUUAGGAAGAACACCAGUGGCGAAGGCGGCUCACUGGCCCGGUACCGACGCUCAGGUGCGAAAGCGUGGGGAGCAAACAGG
Molecule: ribosomal RNA, 253 nt
Filed under: uncultured bacterium
Lineage: Bacteria
Description: partial 16S ribosomal RNA
Rfam family: Bacterial small subunit ribosomal RNA
Source: RNAcentral